GGUGUGCCGCAAGGAACCGUGAGACAGGUGCUGCAUGGCUGUCGUCAGCUCGUGUCGUGAGAUGUUGGGUUAAGUCCCGCAACGAGCGCAACCCUUGUCAUUAGUUGCCAUCAUUAAGUUGGGAACUCUAAGGAGACCGCCGGUGACAAACCGGAGGAAGGUGGGGAUGACGUCAAGUCAUCAUGGCCUUUAUGACCAGGGCUACACACGUGCUACAAUGGCAGGUACAGAGGGAAGCCAACCCGCGAGGGGGAGCUAAUCCCAGAAAGCCUGUCUUAGUCCGGAUUGGAGUCUGCAACUCGACUCCAUGAAGUUGGAAUCGCUAGUAAUCGCAGAUCAGCAUUGCUGCGGUGAAUACGUUCCCGGGUCUUGUACACACCGCCCGUCACACCAUGGGAGUUGAUUGCACCAGAAGCAGGUAGCCUGACCGCAAG
RNAcentral lists this ribosomal RNA (434 nucleotides) under uncultured Gammaproteobacteria bacterium. RNAcentral's name for it is "bacterial SSU rRNA". It matches the Rfam family "Bacterial small subunit ribosomal RNA", at positions 1011 to 1445 of the family's 1533-position model. The record is from RNAcentral. Lineage: Bacteria; Pseudomonadati; Pseudomonadota; Gammaproteobacteria.